UGCGUGAAAAAUCCGCACAUAUAUCGACACAUUACUCUGGGUGCUCUUUUGAGUGGAGAAUGCGGAUAUAUGGAGGCUUAAC
Molecule: small RNA, 82 nt
Filed under: uncultured Acinetobacter sp.
Lineage: Bacteria; Pseudomonadati; Pseudomonadota; Gammaproteobacteria; Moraxellales; Moraxellaceae
Description: t44 RNA
Rfam family: t44 RNA
About the family: This family consists of a number of bacterial RNA genes of between 135 and 170 bases in length. The t44 gene is found between the map and rpsB genes in all species in the full alignment apart from Shigella flexneri. The function of this RNA is unknown.
Source: RNAcentral